RNAcentral lists this ribosomal RNA (253 nucleotides) under uncultured bacterium. Its description in RNAcentral is "partial 16S ribosomal RNA". It matches the Rfam family "Bacterial small subunit ribosomal RNA", at positions 524 to 776 of the family's 1533-position model. The record is from RNAcentral.
UACGUAGGGUGCAAGCGUUAAUCGGAAUUACUGGGCGUAAAGCGCACGUAGGCGGCUUUGCAAGUCAGGUGUGAAAUCCCCGGGCUUAACCUGGGAACUGCAUUUGAGACUGCAUUGCUAGAGUAUGGGAGAGGGAAGUGGAAUUUCAGGUGUAGCGGUGAAAUGCGUAGAUAUCUGAAGGAACAUCAGUGGCGAAAGCGACUUCCUGGACCAAUACUGACGCUCAUGUGCGAAAGCGUGAGGAGCAAACAGG